Molecule: ribosomal RNA, 505 nt
Filed under: uncultured bacterium
Lineage: Bacteria
Description: partial 16S ribosomal RNA
Rfam family: Bacterial small subunit ribosomal RNA
Source: RNAcentral
GACGAACGCUGGCGGCGUGCCUAAUACAUGCAAGUAGAACGCACAGUUUAUACCGUAGCUUGCUACACCAUAGACUGUGAGUUGCGAACGGGUGAGUAACGCGUAGGUAACCUGCCUGGUAGCGGGGGAUAACUAUUGGAAACGAUAGCUAAUACCGCAUAAUAUUAAUUAUUGCAUGAUAAUUAAUUGAAAGGUGCAAUUGCACCACUACCAGAUGGACCUGCGUUGUAUUAGCUAGUAGGUGAGGUAACGGCUCACCUAGGCGACGAUACAUAGCCGACCUGAGAGGGUGAUCGGCCACACUGGGACUGAGACACGGCCCAGACUCCUACGGGAGGCAGCAGUAGGGAAUCGUCGGCAAUGGACGAAAGUCUGACCGAGCAACGCCGCGGGAGGGAAGAAGGUUUUCGGAUCGUAAAGCUCGGUUGUAAGAGAAGAACGGGUGUGAGAGUGGAAAGUUCACACUGUGACGGUAUCUUACCAGAAAGGGACGGCUAACUACGUG